This 424-nucleotide ribosomal RNA is filed under the name uncultured bacterium. RNAcentral's name for it is "bacterial SSU rRNA". It matches the Rfam family "Bacterial small subunit ribosomal RNA", at positions 356 to 773 of the family's 1533-position model. The record is from RNAcentral.
GGGGAAUUUUGCGCAAUGGGCGAAAGCCUGACGCAGCGACGCCGCGUGAGUGAUGAAGGCCUUCGGGUUGUAAAGCUCUGUGGGAGGGGAAGAAUAAUGCACGGCGAAUACCUGUGCAGAUGACGGUACCCUCUUAGCAAGCACCGGCUAACUCUGUGCCAGCAGCCGCGGUAAUACAGAGGGUGCAAACGUUGUUCGGAAUUACUGGGCGUAAAGCGCAUGUAGGCGGCUUUGUAAGUCGGAUGUGAAAUCCCUCGGCUCAACCGGGGAAGUGCAUUCGAAACUGCGGAGCUGGAGUCUCGGAGAGGAAGGUGGAAUGCUUGGUGUAGAGGUGAAAUUCGUAGAUAUCAAGCGGAACACCGGUGGCGAAGGCGGCCUUCUGGACGAUGACUGACGCUGAGAUGCGAAAGCGUGGGUAGCAAAC